GUUGGGAAAGCUUUUAUUGAAGCGUGGCUUUGAAGGAGCUAAAAAGAUUUUACGUCUUCUGACA
RNAcentral lists this transfer RNA (64 nucleotides) under Pedicinus badii. RNAcentral describes it as "tRNA-Phe". Lineage: Eukaryota; Metazoa; Arthropoda; Insecta; Psocodea; Pedicinidae. The record is from RNAcentral.